This 253-nucleotide ribosomal RNA is filed under the name uncultured Rikenellaceae bacterium. Its description in RNAcentral is "partial 16S ribosomal RNA". It matches the Rfam family "Bacterial small subunit ribosomal RNA", at positions 524 to 776 of the family's 1533-position model. The record is from RNAcentral. Lineage: Bacteria; Pseudomonadati; Bacteroidota; Bacteroidia; Bacteroidales; Rikenellaceae.
UACGGAGGAUCCAAGCGUUAUCCGGAUUUAUUGGGUUUAAAGGGUGCGUAGGCGGAUUGAUAAGUUAGAGGUGAAAUGUCCGAGCUCAACUCGGGAACUGCCUCUAAUACUGUUGAUCUAGAGAGUAGAUGCGGUAGGCGGAAUGUAUGGUGUAGCGGUGAAAUGCUUAGAGAUCAUACAGAACACCGAUUGCGAAGGCAGCUUACUAAGCCAUAACUGACACUGAAGCACGAAAGCGUGGGGAUCAAACAGG